CCUACGGGAGGCAGCAGUGGGGAAUAUUGGGCAAUGGGGGAAACUCUGACCCAGCAACGCCGCGUGAAUGAUGAAGGUCUUCGGAUUGUAAAGCUCCUUUCUUAGGGAAGAAGAAAGUGACGGUACCUUAGGAAUAAGCCUCGGCUAACUACGUGCCCGCAGCAGCGGUAAUACGUAGGAGGCAAGCGUUAUCCGGAAGGACUGGGCGUAAGGGGUGGGUAGGUGGUUUGAUAAGUUAGGAGCGCAACUCCGGAGCUCAACUUCGGAACUACUACUAAGACUGUUGGACUGGAGUGCAGGAGGGGCAAGCGGAAUUCCUAGUGUAGCGGUGAAAUGCGUAGAUAUUAGGAGGAACACCAGUGGCGAAGGCGGCUUACUGGACAGUAACUGACGCUGAGGCACGAAAGCGUGGGGAGCAAACAGGAUUAGAUACCCCUGUAGUC
This 443-nucleotide ribosomal RNA is filed under the name uncultured bacterium. Its description in RNAcentral is "partial 16S ribosomal RNA". It matches the Rfam family "Bacterial small subunit ribosomal RNA", at positions 338 to 795 of the family's 1533-position model. The record is from RNAcentral.